UAGUAUAAACCAGAGUGGAAUGAAGAUAUGGUUAUCAGUGAGGCAGUGGUAUGACAACAAAGUCUGAAUGUUUCUGGAAGCCAUGUUGAUUAAGAAAUUUCGGUUUAAGAGA
RNAcentral lists this microRNA precursor (112 nucleotides) under Medicago truncatula (barrel medic). RNAcentral describes it as "miR5268a stem-loop (mtr-MIR5268a, mtr-MIR5268b)". The record is from miRBase by way of RNAcentral. Lineage: Eukaryota; Viridiplantae; Streptophyta; Magnoliopsida; Fabales; Fabaceae.